UUGCAGCCAAUUAAGCCAACCAUGAUCUUUUCCCCAUGGGGCCCUGUGUGCAAUGGCUGCAAACAGCAGCCUCCUUGGUAUGAAUGCAGCCUGUUCCUGUAUAGGUUGCCCUAAGGGACCUUAGAGACAGUC
RNAcentral lists this small nucleolar RNA (132 nucleotides) under Sus scrofa (pig). RNAcentral describes it as "Small nucleolar RNA SNORA70 (ENSSSCG00070023835.1)". It matches the Rfam family "Small nucleolar RNA SNORA70". Rfam says of the family: snoRNA U70 seems to be exclusive to mammals and is a member of the H/ACA class of snoRNA which contain H (ANANNA) and ACA box motifs. The record is from RNAcentral. Lineage: Eukaryota; Metazoa; Chordata; Mammalia; Artiodactyla; Suidae.